Molecule: long non-coding RNA, 1088 nt
Organism: Populus euphratica (Euphrates poplar)
Lineage: Eukaryota; Viridiplantae; Streptophyta; Magnoliopsida; Malpighiales; Salicaceae
Exons: 2
Source: RefSeq, a predicted model, not a curated record
GCAAAUAUAUCAGCAUAUGAUAAAGAAUCAAGGCGGUGAAAAAAUAUAUAAGACUCCCAGGGGGAGGCUAGAGCCUCGAAGCAUAUUACAUCCAGACCUAAUGAAAUGGAGCUAAGAACCAAGAUUGAAAUUGCAAAAUGGGUAUGAAUCUCACACAAUGAUAACAUGAUCCAAACUAAAAACCCCUUCUAACACCCAAAUACAAAGCAUUGUACUGUACUAAGUUUCAGCAAGGACAUGGUAGCAUAAAUAUUUCCAAUAUACAACUGUCCAAAUCUUAAAUGUUGAAGCAGAUGGUGCUCAAAGCAACACAACCAAAACUCCUAGCUUGCCAGUGAACAGCAAGAAUCACCAUCUCAUCAACCAUGAGAAAAGAGAAGACCAGUGCUAUACAUUAAUAACAACUGAUAGAAACCAUAUUUAACCCGUUGAAAGACAAUGACUAGACUCUUCCAUAUUUCUUUUGGCAUGCUGUUUUUGAAUAUCUUGUUGCAACUGCAAAAUAUGUGGGGCAAAAGACCAAGGAGUUGUGUAAAUUUCAGAAGUUGAAAAAAUCCCAUGAGUGCAAUGAAAGACAUAGCGGUUGUAUCAAAUGAAAUUCAACUAGUGACAAAGUCACAUGUUGCCUCAGAGACAUGUAACAUGUAAUUUGUGGCGCAUUAGAGUUGAGAAUCAAAAAAGCAAAAUUGCAAAAUGAAAAUGAAUCACACAAGAAGUAAAAAUAAGGAGAUGCACACUACGGAUCAACUCGAAUACCCAAAUAGAGACUCCAGCAGCAAACUAAAUCAGUGCUAUUCUACAGAAACAUGAAUUUAUUUCUAAAACAAAGCAUGCGAAAAGCAGCAAAACAGUGGAAGCUCACUGCUUAGCACCAUUGACCAGCAAGAACAACAGCUCUAAGGAGAUUUUGGGAUAAAAAAUAAUAGCAACAUUUUCUUGAAACAUAAUCAAUCCAUCACCUUUCCAUAUUUCUCUAUUUUCUUCAACAACACUACAAGCAAUGCUUAAAGGAAACGAACAUUACUUCCAGACUACAUGUUCUCAUAUUCAACAACUAAAUAACUAUAAGAAAUUAUAAGAGAAAAACA